This 68-nucleotide transfer RNA is filed under the name Marmota monax (woodchuck). RNAcentral's name for it is "tRNA.Val". Lineage: Eukaryota; Metazoa; Chordata; Mammalia; Rodentia; Sciuridae. The record is from RNAcentral.
GGCUGGUGGCUCAGUGGUAGAGUGCUUGCGUGACAUGUGUGAGGCCCUGGGUUUGAGUCUCAGCACCA